Molecule: ribosomal RNA, 497 nt
Filed under: uncultured bacterium
Lineage: Bacteria
Description: partial 16S ribosomal RNA
Rfam family: Bacterial small subunit ribosomal RNA
Source: RNAcentral
GAUGAACGCUGGCGGCGUGCCUAAUACAUGCAAGUCGAGCGAACGGACGAGAAGCUUGCUUCUCUGAUGUUAGCGGCGCACGGGUGAGUAACACGUGGAUAACCUACCUAUAAUACUGGGAUAACUUCGGGAAACCGGAGCUAAUACCGGAUAAUAUUUUGAACCGCAUGGUUCAAAAGUGAAAGACGGUCUUGCUGUCUCUUAUAGAUGGUUCUGCGCUGCAUUAGCUAGUUGGUAAGGUAACGGCUUCCCAAGGCAACGAUGCAUAGCCGACCUGAGAGGGUGAUCGGCCACACUGGAACUGAGACGCGGUCCAGACUCCUACGGGAGGCAGCAGAAGGGAAUCGUCCGCAAUGGGCGGAAGCAUGACGGAGCAACGCCGCGUGAGUGAUGAAAAUCUUCGGAUCGUAAAACUCUGUUAUUAGGGAAGAACAUAUGUGUAAGUAACUGUGCACAUCUUGACGGUACCUAAUCAGAAAGCCACGGCUAACUACGUG